CUGAAACCUCAAAGGAAUUGACGGGGGCCCGCACAACGGUGGAGCAUGUGGUUUAAUUCGAAGCAACGCGAAGAACCUUACCAGGUCUUGACAUCCCGCUGAUCGGCGUAGAGAUACGCUUUUCCCUUCGGGGACAGCGGUGACAGGUGGUGCAUGGUUGUCGUCAGCUCGUGUCGUGAGAUGUUGGGUUAAGUCCCGCAACGAGCGCAACCCUUGAUCUUAGUUGCCAGCAUUCAGUUGGGCACUCUAAGGUGACUGCCGGUGACAAACCGGAGGAAGGUGGGGAUGACGUCAAAUCAUCAUGCCCCUUAUGACCUGGGCUACACACGUGCUACAAUGGACGGUACAAAGGGCUGCCAACCCGCGAGGGGGAGCCAAUCCCAGAAAACCGUUCUCAGUUCGGAUUGCAGGCUGCAACUCGCCUGCAUGAAGCCGGAAUCGCUAGUAAUCGUGGAUCAGCAUGCCACGGUGAAUACGUUCCCGGGCCUUGUGCACACCGCCCGUCACACCACGAGAGUUUGUAACACCCGAAGUCGGUGAGGUAACCCCUUGUGGGAGCCAGCCGCCGAAGGUGGGACACGAUGAUUGGGGUGAAGUCGUAACAAGGUAGCCGUAUCGGAAGGUGCGGCUGGAUCACCUCC
Molecule: ribosomal RNA, 641 nt
Filed under: uncultured bacterium
Lineage: Bacteria
Description: bacterial SSU rRNA
Rfam family: Bacterial small subunit ribosomal RNA
Source: RNAcentral